AUUGAACGCUGGCGGCAGGCCUAACACAUGCAAGUCGAACGGUAACAGGAAGAAGCUUGCUUCUUUGCUGACGCGUGGCGGACGGGUGAGUAAUGUCUGGGAAACUGCCUGAUGGAGGGGGAUAACUACUGGAAACGGUAGCUAAUACCGCAUAACGUCGCAAGACCAAAGAGGGGGACCUUCGGGCCUCUUGCCAUCGGAUGUGCCCAGAUGGGAUUAGCUAGUAGGUGGGGUAACGGCCCACCUAGGCGACGAUCCCUAGCUGGUCUGAGAGGAUGACCAGCCACACUGGAACUGAGACACGGUCCAGACUCCUACGGGAGGCAGCAGUGGGGAAUAUUGCACAAUGGGCGCAAGCCUGAUGCAGCCAUGCCGCGUGUAUGAAGAAGGCCUUCGGGUUGUAAAGUACUUUCAGCGGGGAGGAAGGGAGUAAAGUUAAUACCCUUGCUCAUUGACGUUACCCGCAGAAGAAGCACCGGCUAACUCCGUG
RNAcentral lists this ribosomal RNA (490 nucleotides) under uncultured bacterium. RNAcentral's name for it is "partial 16S ribosomal RNA". It matches the Rfam family "Bacterial small subunit ribosomal RNA", at positions 30 to 507 of the family's 1533-position model. The record is from RNAcentral.